GUAGGUGGCAAGCGUUGUCCGGAUUUAUUGGGCGUAAAGCGAGCGCAGGCGGUUUCUUAAGUCUGAUGUGAAAGCCCCCGGCUCAACCGGGGAGGGUCAUUGGAAACUGGGAGACUUGAGUGCAGAAGAGGAGAGUGGAAUUCCAUGUGUAGCGGUGAAAUGCGUAGAUAUAUGGAGGAACACCAGUGGCGAAGGCGGCUCUCUGGUCUGUAACUGACGCUGAGGCUCGAAAGCGUGGGGAGCAAACAGGAUUAGAUACCCUGGUAGUCCACGCCGUAAACGAUGAGUGCUAAGUGUUGGAGGGUUUCCGCCCUUCAGUGCUGCAGCUAACGCAUUAAGCACUCCGCCUGGGGAGUACGACCGCAAGGUUG
This 371-nucleotide ribosomal RNA is filed under the name uncultured bacterium. RNAcentral's name for it is "bacterial SSU rRNA". It matches the Rfam family "Bacterial small subunit ribosomal RNA", at positions 527 to 896 of the family's 1533-position model. The record is from RNAcentral. RNAcentral also lists the same sequence under 1 other name.